RNAcentral lists this ribosomal RNA (496 nucleotides) under uncultured bacterium. RNAcentral describes it as "partial 16S ribosomal RNA". It matches the Rfam family "Bacterial small subunit ribosomal RNA", at positions 28 to 506 of the family's 1533-position model. The record is from RNAcentral.
GACGAACGCUGGCGGCGUGCCUAAUACAUGCAAGUAGAACGCUGAAGAGAGGAGCUUGCUCUUCUUGGAUGAGUUGCGAACGGGUGAGUAACGCGUAGGUGACCUGCCUUGUAGCGGGGGAUAACUAUUGGAAACGAUAGCUAAUACCGCAUAACAAUGGAUGACACAUGUCAUUUAUUUGAAAGGGGCAAUUGCUCCACUACAAGAUGGACCUGCGUUGUAUUAGCUAGUAGGUGAGGUAAUGGCUCACCUAGGCGACGAUACAUAGCCGACCUGAGAGGGUGAUCGGCCACACUGGGACUGAGACACGGCCCAGACUCCUACGGGAGGCAGCAGUAGGGAAUCUUCGGCAAUGGGGGCAACCCUGACCGAGCAACGCCGCGUGAGUGAAGAAGGUUUUCGGAUCGUAAAGCUCUGUUGUAAGUCAAGAACGGGUGUGAGAGUGGAAAGUUCACACUGUGACGGUAGCUUACCAGAAAGGGACGGCUAACUACGU